This 119-nucleotide ribosomal RNA is filed under the name Pteropus alecto (black flying fox). The record is from RNAcentral. Lineage: Eukaryota; Metazoa; Chordata; Mammalia; Chiroptera; Pteropodidae.
GUUUAUGGCCAUGCUACCCUGAACAAGCCCGAUCUCGUCUGAUCUCAGAAGCUAAGCAGGGUCGGGCCUGGUUAGUACUUGAGUAGGAGACUACCUAGGAAGACCAGGUGCUGUAGGCA